Molecule: ribosomal RNA, 368 nt
Filed under: uncultured organism
Description: bacterial SSU rRNA
Rfam family: Bacterial small subunit ribosomal RNA
Source: RNAcentral
CGGAGGGUGCAAGCGUUAUCCGGAUUCACUGGGUUUAAAGGGUGUGUAGGCGGGUAUUUAAGUCAGUGGUGAAAUCUCCGAGCUCAACUCGGAAACUGCCAUUGAUACUAUUUAUCUUGAAUAUUGUUGAGGUAGGCGGAAUAUGUCAUGUAGCGGUGAAAUGCUUAGAUAUGACAUAGAACACCGAUUGCGAAGGCAGCUUGCUAAACAAUUAUUGACGCUGAGGCACGAAAGCGUGGGGAUCAAACAGGAUUAGAUACCCUGGUAGUCCACGCCCUAAACGAUGAUUACUGGACAUUUGCGAUAUACAGUGAGUGUCUGAGCGAAAGCAUUAAGUAAUCCACCUGGGAAGUACGUCCGCAAGGAUG